GGCUGCCGUUUAGAUCACCGUCGGGGCGACGUUGCAGAAACUGGGGGUGGAAUGUAAUGAAAUUAGGUGACUGACAGCCGAAUUUACCUAUCAGCGACUAGUAUCUUCAAUAUAAAGGCUGAUUGGUUGUUGCCCGUGAUGCGUCACGUCCGACUUUCCCCUUUGUGCCCGUGUUUACGGUGGUUACAGGUAAGCGCGCUGUGCUGUAACAGGCGGUUAUUUUAAAACUGGUUGGUCUUUUAAAAGUGUUUCCUUCCGUAAAUUAUAGUGUCGUUUUGGCCUGGUCAGUGUGUUGUCGGCGCUGCUUGGUGGAUUUAAUGACUGUUUGCCUCUCAGGUGCGAUUUCCUGUACCCCAGGGUGCUAUCGGUGGGCAUGAUUUAUAGACCUGUGCCUGUACAUUUUCUAUUUUGUAUGAUACCUUGACGGAGCUGGGGUCCCACGGGUGAACGGAUCUUCCUCCUUGUGGUGGUGGUUCUUCUUUAUUGCGUGCUGUGUACCACUUUGAGUGUGUGUGGUAGUGUGAUCUGAGUGCACCUUGGUGUGUGUGCGCGUGAAACUGUGCCCUUGUAAAACCAGACUCCAUUUUGUUUCCUGCCGUUGGGAGCCUCAGCCCUGCUGGUAUUAUAUUUUUUUUUUCAUAUUUAAAGUUGAUUUUGUGUCAUUGCCUAUAUUCAUUUUUUUGUAAUUUCAUUUUCUUUCAUUUAAAGUGGGAUCUCCUGUUGCUUCUCUGACAUUUUAGUGUCCAUUUUAAAACAUUCUUGUAUUAAUAAACAUUUGUAUUUUUAUAUUAUACCCACGUCUCCUGUUCACUUGUAUGAGGGAACCGAACCUGUGUGCUUAAUUACUCCAUUUUUGGGUUUUGAGUAUUGUUCCCUAGAGCUAAUUUCUAGGGUGGCGUAGUCGGAUUUUCUUACUGGUAAAAGGUUGGUUUUCAUAAUUGUACC
Labeo rohita (rohu) is the source of this 945-nucleotide long non-coding RNA. RefSeq lists it as uncharacterized. Lineage: Eukaryota; Metazoa; Chordata; Actinopteri; Cypriniformes; Cyprinidae. The transcript has 3 exons. The record is from RefSeq and is a predicted model, not a curated record.